This 348-nucleotide ribosomal RNA is filed under the name uncultured bacterium. RNAcentral's name for it is "bacterial SSU rRNA". It matches the Rfam family "Bacterial small subunit ribosomal RNA", at positions 32 to 361 of the family's 1533-position model. The record is from RNAcentral.
AUCAACGCUGGCGGCGUGCCUAACACAUGCAAGUCGAACGCGAAAGCCCCUUCGGGGGUAAGUAGAGUGGCGUCCGGGUGAGUAACACGUAGGUAAUCUACCUUCGGGUGGGGAAUAACUCGCCGAAAGGCGAGCUAAUACCGCAUAAUGCAGCGGCACCUAAUGGUGAUUAGUUGUUAAAGCGGGGGAUCGUAAGACCUCGCGCCUGAAGAGGAGCCUGCGGCAGAUUAGCUAGUUGGUGAGGUAAUGGCUCACCAAGGCUUCGAUCUGUAGCUGGUCUGAGAGGACGGCCAGCCACACUGGCACUGACACACGGGCCAGACUCCUACGGGAGGCAGCAGUGGGGAA